GGGGAUUUAGCUCAGCAGCAUAAGCGCUUGCUUUACAAGCAGGCAAUCGUGAGUUCAAUCCCCG
Molecule: transfer RNA, 64 nt
Organism: Cavia porcellus (domestic guinea pig)
Lineage: Eukaryota; Metazoa; Chordata; Mammalia; Rodentia; Caviidae
Rfam family: tRNA
About the family: Transfer RNA (tRNA) molecules are approximately 80 nucleotides in length.
Source: Rfam